RNAcentral lists this ribosomal RNA (969 nucleotides) under uncultured bacterium. RNAcentral describes it as "bacterial SSU rRNA". It matches the Rfam family "Bacterial small subunit ribosomal RNA", at positions 483 to 1452 of the family's 1533-position model. The record is from RNAcentral.
CCAGAAAGGGACGGCUAACUACGUGCCAGCAGCCGCGGUAAUACGUAGGUCCCGAGCGUUNUCCGGAUUUAUUGGGCGUAAAGGGAGCGCAGGCGGCCNGGAAAGUCUGGAGUAAAAGGCUAUGGCUCAACCAUAGUGUGCUCUGGAAACUGUCUGACUUGAGUGCAGAAGGGGAGAGUGGAAUUCCAUGUGUAGCGGUGAAAUGCGUAGAUAUAUGGAGGAACACCAGUGGCGAAAGCGGCUCUCUGGUCUGUCACUGACGCUGAGGCUCGAAAGCGUGGGUAGCGAACAGGAUUAGAUACCCUGGUAGUCCACGCCGUAAACGAUGAGUGCUAGGUGUUAGGCCCUUUCCGGGGCUUAGUGCCGGAGCUAACGCAAUAAGCACUCCGCCUGGGGAGUACGACCGCAAGGUUGAAACUCAAAGGAAUUGACGGGGGCCCGCACAAGCGGUGGAGCAUGUGGUUUAAUUCGAAGCAACGCGAAGAACCUUACCAGGUCUCGACAUCCCGAUGCUAUUCUUAGAGAUAGGAAGUUACUUCGGUACAUCGGAGACAGGUGGUGCAUGGUUGUCGUCAGCUCGUGUCGUGAGAUGUUGGGUUAAGUCCCGCAACGAGCGCAACCCUUAUUGUUAGUUGCCAUCAUUAAGUUGGGCACUCUAGCGGGACUGCCGGUAAUAAACCGGAGGAAGGUGGGGAUGACGUCAAAUCAUCAUGCCCCUUAUGACCUGGGCUACACACGUGCUACAAUGGUCGGUACAACGAGUUGCGAGCCGGUGACGGCAAGCUAAUCUCUGAAAGCCGAUCUCAGUUCGGAUUGGAGGCUGCAACUCGCCUCCAUGAAGUCGGAAUCGCUAGUAAUCGCGGAUCAGCACGCCGCGGUGAAUACGUUCCCGGGCCUUGUACACACCGCCCGUCACACCACGAGAGUUUGUAACACCCGAAGUCGGUGAGGUAACCUUUUAGGGGCCAG